Molecule: ribosomal RNA, 501 nt
Filed under: uncultured bacterium
Lineage: Bacteria
Description: partial 16S ribosomal RNA
Rfam family: Bacterial small subunit ribosomal RNA
Source: RNAcentral
AUUGAACGCUGGCGGCAUGCCUUACACAUGCAAGUCGAACGGCAGCACGGGUGCUUGCACCUGGUGGCGAGUGGCGAACGGGUGAGUAAUAUAUCGGAACGUACCUUAUUGUGGGGGAUAACGCAGCGAAGGCUGUGCUAAUACCGCAUAAUCCCUAAGGGGGAAAGCGGGGGACCGUAAGGCCUCGCGCAAUUGGAGCGGCCGAUACCUGAUUAGCUAGUUGGUGAGGUAAAGGCUCACCAAGGCAACGAUCAGUAGCUGGUCUGAGAGGACGAUCAGCCACACUGGGACUGAGACACGGCCCAGACUCCUACGGGAGGCAGCAGUGGGGAAUUUUGGACAAUGGGGGCAACCCUGAUCCAGCAAUGCCGCGUGAGUGAAGAAGGCCUUCGGGUUGUAAAGCUCUUUUGUCAGGGAAGAAACAGCAGCUCUAACACAGUUUGCGAAUGACGGUACCUGAAGAAUAAGCACCGGCUAACUACGUGCCAGCAGCCGCCGUAA